Molecule: small nuclear RNA, 107 nt
Filed under: Trichobilharzia regenti
Lineage: Eukaryota; Metazoa; Platyhelminthes; Trematoda; Strigeidida; Schistosomatidae
Source: RNAcentral
GUACUCGCUUCGGUGGAACAUAUACUAAAAUUGGAACGAAACAAAGAAGAUUAGCAUGGCCCCUGCGCAAGGAUGACACGCAAAAUCGUGAAGCGUUCCGUAUUUUU